GUGCCAGCAGCCGCGGUAAUACGUAGGGUGCGAGCGUUAAUCGGAAUUACUGGGCGUAAAGCGUGCGUAGGCGGUUGGCAAAGUCAGCUGUGAAAGCCCCGGGCUCAACCUGGGAAUGGCGGUUGAAACUAGUCGACUCGAAUCUGGCAGAGGGGGGUGGAAUUCCACGUGUAGCAGUGAAAUGCGUAGAGAUGUGGAGGAACACCGAUGGCGAAGGCAGCCCCCUGGGCUGAGAUUGACGCUCAGGCACGAAAGCGUGGGGAGCAAACAGGAUUAGAUACCCUGGUAGUCCACGCCCUAAACGAUGUCAACUAGGUGUUGGGAGCGCAAGUUCUUGGUACCGCAGCUAACGCGUGAAGUUGACCGCCUGGGGAGUACGGUCGCAAGAUUAAA
Molecule: ribosomal RNA, 393 nt
Filed under: uncultured bacterium
Lineage: Bacteria
Description: bacterial SSU rRNA
Rfam family: Bacterial small subunit ribosomal RNA
Source: RNAcentral